AUGCCUAACACAUGCAAGUCGAACGAAGGCUUCGGCCUUAGUGGCGCACGGGUGCGUAACGCGUGGGAAUCUGCCCCUUGGUUCGGAAUAACAGUUGGAAACGACUGCUAAUACCGGAUGACGACGUAAGUCCAAAGAUUUAUCGCCGAGGGAUGAGCCCGCGUAAGAUUAGCUAGUUGGUGUGGUAAAGGCGCACCAAGGCGACGAUCUUUAGCUGGUCUGAGAGGAUGAUCAGCCACACUGGGACUGAGACACGGCCCAGACUCC
Molecule: ribosomal RNA, 267 nt
Filed under: uncultured Sphingomonas sp.
Lineage: Bacteria; Pseudomonadati; Pseudomonadota; Alphaproteobacteria; Sphingomonadales; Sphingomonadaceae
Description: partial 16S ribosomal RNA
Rfam family: Bacterial small subunit ribosomal RNA
Source: RNAcentral